Molecule: non-coding RNA, 48 nt
Submitted as: unclassified sequences
Source: Rfam
AGCCAAUGCUCAAUCGGGAGUAUUGAAGAACCAAUUGGGGUUAUGCGG